AGCAGACGCUUUUAUUGAGAGCAAUUUACAGUCAGUAAAUUGGAUCCAGGUGCGACUGUCGUCACUGUCACAGCUGCAACCUAACUAUUUAACAUUACUGAUCUCUAAGCAAUGAUGCCACCGCUGCUGAUUCCUUGCCUCUCAACCAGAGAAAUACCUGGCUGACUACAGUGGAGUUGCAGGCCAAUGACGUCACCAGGCGAUGUUCCCACAUCUGAGCAGAGGAUCCAAUACGACAAACCAUGCAGCAGAUCCCCAAUGAAAAUAAUCCAACUGGUAACUCUGAAUUGGACUACUGGUUUCUGUCAAAACACCCACACUGUGAUUGAAAGUGACCUUGUGAAAAUCCUAGAUAUGGAACAGCUUGGAUGUCAUCAGUCUUUGGGCAAGUCAUGAUGAGGUUAAAUCUCUUGCUCCUUCCCUCUGCCUCUCCUGGCCUCUUCUCUGUCACUUCUCCCCUCCUCUCCUCGUAUCUCCUCUACAGCACGUGGAUAUUGCGGCCUUCUUGAUCAAGUUCUAAUGAAGUGGUAGGCAAGUUGAGAACAAGUUCUCAUUUACAAUUGCAACCUGGCCAAGAUAAAGCAAAGCAGUUCGACACAUACAACGACAGAGUUACACAUGGAGUAAAACAAACAUUGGUAGGCUUGAUUACCAACAACGACGAGACGGCCUACAGGGAGGAGGUGAGGGCCCUCGGAGUGUGGUGUCAGGAAAAUAACCUCACACUCAACGUCAACAAAACUAAGGAGAUGAUUGUGGACUUCAGGAAACAGCAGAGGGAACACCCCCCUAUCCACAUCGAUGGAACAGUAGUGGAGAGGGUAGUAAGUUUUAAGUUCCUCGGGAUACACAUCACAGACAAACUGAAUUGGUCCACUUACACAGACAGCAUCGUGAAGAAGAAGGCGAUUCGGUUGAAGAGCAUGCAUUUAGUUUUACUUUUACUUAUUUAAUCCAUUUUGAAUUCAGGUUGUAACAUAACAAAAUGCGGAAUAAGUCGAGAGUUAUGAAUGCUUUUUGAAGGCACUGAAGUUUUACAUCAGGAUGCACAACCAUUUUGAAUGUGUAAAUUUUGUUAUACAAGGGAACUUUACUGAUUAAUUGUGACACAGCUCGAAUAAUUAACAGGCAAAUCAUAACUGCAAAGCUUUUUCAGAAACUUUUUUCAUCAUUAAUUUUGUAACAAGUCCUAUGAAUUGUUGUGAUUGCAUUGUGUUGAAUAGAAAAUAUACAACUGCUAGGUCUCCUGAGGUGCACAUGUCAAGCUAGCUUGUGCACAUUUGAUUUAGUCCUCAUUAAUUUACUUGCAUACAACUCCUUUAAUUUUUAAAGUGGUUGUGGUCACUGUGGUACAGAUUUACCUUCCUCCAACUUGUCUCAGCCACGCAGAUCCAUGUCCCUGGCAACACUGGCAGAAUGCCCAAAAGCUUCCCGCACUCAUGCUUGUGAUGAAGUUACUGCUCGGGCUCAUGCUAUUCCCGUAUUAGUGCACAGGCAGAGUAGUCCCAGUAAAAUCGAAACUAGCAAGAUGGCGGCAGCCACGAAUUGGUAUAUGCAACCGUGAGUAGAUUGCGUUUUAAACAACAAUCGGGCAUCUUGGAGAGGCUGUCUCUAGUUAUUAUUAUUGGUGCUUUCAGGACAACUGGGAACUCUGGAAAAAAAACGUGCUCAAAUCAUGAUUACAGUGAUCUUCAGGUCGGAAAGUCAGAGCUAUAGAAUGAUGCCAGAGUUUCCGACAUAGAAUUCUGAGUUGGAUGACCUUUCAAAAGAUAUUUCCCAGUUUGAGUUUUAUUUUCAGUUACCACUUGUCUUUGAAGGCACUGAAGUUGGAAGUCUGAGAUUUCAGAGUUCCCAGUUCUUUGGACCGCAGCAAGAAGCUCCGUAUGUGCAACCCCGAAUUUACAACCACAAACCAUUUUGGCACAUGUUAUAUGUUACAAAACGCAGAGUGUGCAAAUGUAACCUUUAUUUAACUAGGCAAGUCAGUUAAGAAUAAAUUCUUAUUUACAAUGAUGGCAUAGCCCGACCAAACCCGGACGACGCUGGGCCAAUUGUGCACUGCACUAUGAAACUUCCCAUCACAGCCAGGAUUCUAACCAGGGACUGGACUGACACAACUUGCAGCUAAAAAUGCAUUGACUUCGACCACUGUGCCACGCGGGAGCCCUUAGACAUGGGCAAAUGUAAUUUUUAUUCACAGAAGAAGAUUCACCAGUCCAAAGUUUAGUGAUUGUGUUGCAUUUAUCCUCAAAUUGAGUUGCAUGCUUGCAAAUCGUAUUUAAUGUAUUCACAUGUCAAGUUACAACUUUGGAACCAUUCUUACAUUGUGUUGGUAAGGUUAGGGAUACUCACACACACAGUGCUUUUAAUAUACAUUGUUUUCAACCUGUAUAUUUGACACACUACGACAUACAUGAUUACGUUGUGCAUGUUCAUUUAUACAGUAAUUACUAUUCAAUCUGUCCUCAUCUGGGAUUUGAACUCUUGAUUCACGGUACUUUGGUCUUCCUGCUAUGCCAUCUUCCUGCUAUAUCUGUGUCAUGUAUCAAUUAAUCUGACUAUUCUCUAAUCAUUGAUUUUAUUUACUUAUUUCUGUACAGUAGUCUUAUGUUGGUGGGGCAUAUUAACCUGUUUUAAUCAUACUCCUGCAUCACUAUGAUCAAUAAAAUAUUUUCUUGAGUAUACUUUUAACCAGUGGAGGUCAGUGCUGUUUAAAAUGGGUUGUUUUUUUUCAUGAGCAUGGCCUUAUUUCUUUACUGCAUGUUGAAUGACUGUCAUUCAUAUUCCAUUCACCCAGUUGAACAGCGAUUAGUAAAACCAAAACCUUACCUUGACUUGGAAGAGUUUCAGUGUUGUGUUGGAUAGCCAUAGCCAGC
Oncorhynchus tshawytscha (Chinook salmon) is the source of this 2876-nucleotide long non-coding RNA. The record is from Ensembl. Lineage: Eukaryota; Metazoa; Chordata; Actinopteri; Salmoniformes; Salmonidae.